UGCAAGGGCAGCUACACAUGCAGUCGAGCGAGAACUUCGGUUCUAGCGGCGGACGGGUUAGUAACGCGUGGGAACGUGCCCUUCACUACGGAAUAGUCCCGGGAAACUGGGUUUAAUACCGUAUACGCCCUUCGGGGGAAAGAAUUUCGGUGAAGGAUCGGCCCGCGUUAGAUUAGAUAGUUGGUGGGGUAACGGCCUACCAAGUCUACGAUCUAUAGCUGGUUUUAGAGGAUGAUCAGCAACACUGGGACUGAGACACGGCCCAGACUCCUACGGGAGGCAGCAGUGGGGAAUCUUAGACAAUGGGCGCAAGCCUGAUCUAGCCAUGCCGCGUGAGUGAUGAAGGCCUUAGGGUCGUAAAGCUCUUUCGCCAGGGAUGAUAAUGACAGUACCUGGUAAAGAAACCCCGGCUAACUCCGUGCCAGCAGCCGCGGUAAUACGGAGGGGGUUAGCGUUGUUCGGAAUUACUGGGCGUAAAGCGCGCGUAGGCGGAUUGGAAAGUUGGGGGUGAAAUCCCAGGGCUCAACCCUGGAACUGCCUCCAAAACUAUCAGUCUAGAGUUCGAGAGAGGUGAGUGGAACUCCGAGUGUAGAGGUGAAAUUCGUAGAUAUUCGGAAGAACACCAGUGGCGAAGGCGGCUCACUGGCUCGAUACUGACGCUGAGGUGCGAAAGUGUGGGGAGCAAACAGGAUUAGAUACCCUGGUAGUCC
This 710-nucleotide ribosomal RNA is filed under the name Roseovarius sp. RNAcentral describes it as "bacterial SSU rRNA". It matches the Rfam family "Bacterial small subunit ribosomal RNA", at positions 41 to 796 of the family's 1533-position model. The record is from RNAcentral. Lineage: Bacteria; Pseudomonadati; Pseudomonadota; Alphaproteobacteria; Rhodobacterales; Roseobacteraceae.